RNAcentral lists this unclassified non-coding RNA (328 nucleotides) under soil metagenome. RNAcentral describes it as "partial contains 5.8S ribosomal RNA, internal transcribed spacer 2, and large subunit ribosomal RNA". The stretch from base 1 to 120 matches the Rfam family "5.8S ribosomal RNA", at positions 35 to 154 of the family's 154-position model. The record is from RNAcentral.
GAUGAAGAACGUAGCGAAAUGCGAUAAGUAAUGUGAAUUGCAGAAUUCAGUGAAUCAUCGAAUCUUUGAACGCACAUUGCGCCCUCUGGUAUUCCGGGGGGCAUGCCUGUUCGAGCGUCAUUAUAACCACUCAAGCUCUCGCUUGGUAUUGGGGUUCGCGGUUUCGCGGCCCCUAAAAUCAGUGGCGGUGCCUGUCGGCUCUACGCGUAGUAAUACUUCUCGCGAUUGAGUUCGAUAGGUCUACUUGCCAGUAACCCCCAAUUUUUACAGGUUGACCUCGGAUCAGGUAGGGAUACCCGCUGAACUUAAGCAUAUCAUAAGCGGAGGA